RNAcentral lists this ribosomal RNA (434 nucleotides) under uncultured bacterium. Its description in RNAcentral is "partial 16S ribosomal RNA". It matches the Rfam family "Bacterial small subunit ribosomal RNA", at positions 29 to 507 of the family's 1533-position model. The record is from RNAcentral.
AGCGAACGCUGGCGGCAUGCCUAACACAUGCAAGUCGAACGAACCUUUCGGGGUUAGUGGCGGACGGGUGGGUAACACGUGGGAACGUUCCUUUAGGGUCGGAAUAACUCAGGGAAACUUGUGCUAAUACCGAAUGUGCCCUUCGGGGGAAAGAUUUAUCGCCUUUAGAGCGGCCCGCGUGUGAUUAGCUAGUUGGUUGAGGUAAUGGCUCACCAAGGCGACGAUCAGUAGCUGGUCUGAGAGGAUGAUCAGCCACCUUGGGACUGAGACACGGACCAAACUCCUACGGGAGGACGCAGUGGGGAAUCUUGCGCAAUGGGCGAAAGCCUGACGCAGCCAUGCCGCGUUACUGAUGAAGGUCUUAGGAUUGUAAAAUUCUUUCAACGGGGACGAUAAUGACGGUACCCGGAGAAGAAGCCACGGCUAACUUCGUG